AGUAUUAUUUCCUUCAUUCACUUCAGUGGAAAUCAAAUCAGGUCCUAGGACAGGCAGAAACUUGACAUACCUGAGCUAAAUUCGCAGUUAGACUGUAUCAAUAGAAGUCCUUCUCUAUCUUUGUGUCCAGUCCAUGCCAAGCACAAAUAAACUUGCUUUAAAAGAACAGAAGUGGGAAAAAUGUGCAGCAGACUGAAUUAAUGGGAUUACAGCACUGCUGCGGAGGAGGACACACCUGUACAAGCCCAGUCCUGCAGGCAGCUGAGCACCAUCCACUCGCAGUGAAGUGAAAAAUUCCCGUCACUUAUUUCCAAGGAGAUGCUCAGCAGCUUGUGUGAGGGGCCUUUGGGACAGACUAGGUUCUUUUCUGAUCUAGUUACAUUAAUGAAUAAAGUACAGUAAAUAAAUAGCAAAGAUAGAAACCACUUUUCCGUACUGAUCUAUUUUUUGUUCCUUUGCUUUUGGUUUGGAAAAAAAACCCAACAUCCUGUUGUGGUGCUGGUGAUUCACGAUGGACUGAAGAAGCUAUGUAUACUAGUAUUUACCCAUUGCUGAAUAACAGGUCAUCAGUUUCUCUCUGGAUAUUUUGGGUACAUUUGUCUCCAGAUCAAUUUUCACUUCUAAUUUAUUGACAGAUGACACCUGAAAUCUUCAUCAAGUGGAUUUUAGAAUGAUUUCUUUUAAAAGCUUUGACUUCAGGUCAUAAAUCUUGUCAUUAAAUAUACUGCAUUAUUUAGGGUAAGAGGACUCCUCCCCAGUCUUUCAGACUUUAAUUUCCGAUUUUGAGACAACAGAGGACAUUUUAGACUAUCUUCAGGAUCUAUAGUAAGGCUUCUGUCAUGCUUCUCAAAGCACAAUAUGCUAAAAUGGCUGUAUUCUCUACAGCUGUGUAAUUACGAAGCUAGCCAAGAAGAAGAGGAGUAGAUCUUUGCUCAUCUGUAUUGUGCAAGCGACCUCUUCUAUUAGCACCUAGCAAACAGGAAAAUCUUUCUGUGGCCAACAAAUUAAGAUGGUGCUGUUUACAAAAUGAGGGGAUUGAGUUCUCAAUUUAAUGCGUACAAAGGCAAUACGGACUGACAGAAGUUCUCUAGAACAGAGACAAAACAAUGAAAUAAAUCUCCUUUCUGGGAUGUUUCCA
RNAcentral lists this long non-coding RNA (1138 nucleotides) under Dromaius novaehollandiae (emu). RNAcentral's name for it is "lncRNA (ENSDNVG00000002024.1)". Lineage: Eukaryota; Metazoa; Chordata; Aves; Casuariiformes; Dromaiidae. The record is from RNAcentral.